This 579-nucleotide long non-coding RNA is filed under the name Homo sapiens (human). RNAcentral describes it as "long non-coding RNA NONHSAT180671". The record is from RNAcentral. Lineage: Eukaryota; Metazoa; Chordata; Mammalia; Primates; Hominidae.
UUCCUCAUUCCUCCAGACAGAGAGAGUACUGACAGCUGCUUUAGCUGCCGUUUAGUGAGCGCUUAUCCAGUGGGUGACCCUGUUCCGGGGCUCACUGUGCCUUCAUUCUAACACCUAAUCCCAGGGUCAUUAUUAUGUUUUAUUAUUAUCUGGCAUUCUUAGUACCAACACCACCUGACAGCGGGAACCACCACCGGCCUGGGUGUAGUGUACCCAGCCUGUCCUCUGACUUCAAAGCCUCUCCUGCGAGAGACACAGUUUAUGGCUUCUUCGCACAAUUUAUUAAAAGCGCCUUUCAACACCCAAACGGGUUGGAUUGGCUUUUGUAAUAAUAAUCUGGCUACGAGGGGAAACCCGGGAGGGCCCCCCGGAGGGGAAGUGGACUGUCUCAGGACUCGCAGCCUGAAACCAGCCGGGUAGGUGGGAAGGGACCCAGGGAGGGGCCGCGUGGAUCUAGGGCGAGGGUGUCAUCCAGGGACUUUGCUCCAAGGACCCUGCCUGGGAUAGAAAUCCUUCUUCCUUCAACCACCGGCCAUCAGCCUCGGGACCAGGAGGCCACGCUGAAGCACGAUUCUUCCC